UAGGGAAUCUUCCACAAUGGACGCAAGUCUGAUGGAGCAACGCCGCGUGAGUGAAGAAGGGUUUCGGCUCGUAAAGCUCUGUUGUUAAAGAAGAACACGUAUGAGAGUAACUGUUCAUACGUUGACGGUAUUUAACCAGAAAGUCACGGCUAACUACGUGCUAG
RNAcentral lists this ribosomal RNA (164 nucleotides) under uncultured bacterium. RNAcentral describes it as "partial 16S ribosomal RNA". It matches the Rfam family "Bacterial small subunit ribosomal RNA", at positions 355 to 511 of the family's 1533-position model. The record is from RNAcentral.